RNAcentral lists this ribosomal RNA (497 nucleotides) under uncultured bacterium. Its description in RNAcentral is "partial 16S ribosomal RNA". It matches the Rfam family "Bacterial small subunit ribosomal RNA", at positions 28 to 507 of the family's 1533-position model. The record is from RNAcentral.
GAUGAACGCUGGCGGCGUGCCUAAUACAUGCAAGUCGAGCGAACAGACGAGGAGCUUGCUCCUCUGACGUUAGCGGCGGACGGGUGAGUAACACGUGGAUAACCUACCUAUAAGACUGGGAUAACUUCGGGAAACCGGAGCUAAUACCGGAUAAUAUAUUGAACCGCAUGGUUCAAUAGUGAAAGACGGUUUUGCUGUCACUUAUAGAUGGAUCCGCGCCGCAUUAGCUAGUUGGUAAGGUAACGGCUUACCAAGGCAACGAUGCGUAGCCGACCUGAGAGGGUGAUCGGUCACACUGGAACUGAGACACGGUCCAGACUCCUACGGGAGGCAGCAGUAGGGAAUCUUCAGCAAUGGGCGAAAGCUUGACGGAGCAACGCCGCGUGAGUGAUGAAGGUCUUCGGAUCGUAAAACUCUGUUAUUAGGGAAGAACAAAUGUGUAAGUAACUAUGCACGUCUUGACGGUACCUAAUCAGAAAGCCACGGCUAACUACGUG